AUGGUAAGGACGAUGGCCAAGGAGCUCAAGGGCACGCGCGUCACGGCCAACUGCGUGGCUCCGGGGGCUACGGCCACGGACUUGUUCUUCGCCGGGAAGAGCGACGAGACCGUGAGGCGGGUCGCGGAGACGAACCCAAUGGAGCGGCUCGGGGAGACAGGCGACAUAGCACCGGUGGUCGGCUUCCUCUGCACGGACGCCGCCGAGUGGGUUAACGGGCAGGUCAUUCGGGUCAAUGGUGGGUAUGUCUGA
RNAcentral lists this ribosomal RNA (252 nucleotides) under Triticum aestivum (bread wheat). RNAcentral's name for it is "partial small subunit ribosomal RNA". Lineage: Eukaryota; Viridiplantae; Streptophyta; Magnoliopsida; Poales; Poaceae. The record is from RNAcentral.